This 272-nucleotide long non-coding RNA is filed under the name Lathyrus oleraceus (garden pea). Its description in RNAcentral is "Pisum sativum (pea) long non-coding RNA (PSAT_LNC037663)". The record is from RNAcentral. Lineage: Eukaryota; Viridiplantae; Streptophyta; Magnoliopsida; Fabales; Fabaceae.
UGAUAUGGAUGAAGAGCAUGAAGAGUUUGAAUAGACCGUUUUUGCAAUUUUACUUAAUGGUUGGUAGAAAAUAAUGUGUUGAUUUAAAUGUGUUUUGUUGAUUUAUUAAUUGUGUUGAUGAAUUAGUUGUAUAUGUUGUGUUAAUUUAUUAUACGUGUAUUCUCUCAAAAUAAAUAAAAAACCACCUCGAACUGAUAAGGGUAAGGGUAAGAAGACCUAACAUCAGCACCCGAGGGUAACAGUAUGUGAGGCACCUCAGUUGGCCAUGUGUC